GACGAACGCUGGCGGCGUGCCUAAUACAUGCAAGUCGAGCGCAGGAAGCUGACGGAACUCUUCGGAGGGAAGGCAGUGGAAUGAGCGGCAGACGGGUGAGUAACACGUAAGGAACCUGCCUCAAGGAUUGGGAUAACUCCGAGAAAUCGGAGCUAAUACCGGAUAGUUCAACGGACCGCAUGGUCCGCUGAUGAAAGGCGCUUCGGCGUCACCUUGAGAUGGCCUUGCGGUGCAUUAGCUAGUUGGUGGGGUAACGGCCCACCAAGGCGACGAUGCAUAGCCGACCUGAGAGGGUGAUCGGCCACACUGGGACUGAGACACGGCCCAGACUCCUACGGGAGGCAGCAGUAGGGAAUCUUCCACAAUGGACGAAAGUCUGAUGGAGCAACGCCGCGUGAGUGAUGAAGGUUUUCGGAUCGUAAAACCCUGUUGUAAGGGAAGAACACGUACGAGAGGUAAUGCUCGUACCUUGACGGUACCUUACGAGAAAGCCACGGCUAACUACGUGCCAGCAGCCGCGGUAA
Molecule: ribosomal RNA, 524 nt
Filed under: uncultured bacterium
Lineage: Bacteria
Description: partial 16S ribosomal RNA
Rfam family: Bacterial small subunit ribosomal RNA
Source: RNAcentral